GACGAACGCUGGCGGCGUGCCUAAUACAUGCAAGUCGAACGGGUCCAUCCAGUGGCAACACUGGUGAAGACCGAGUGGCGAACGGGUGCGUAACACGUGAGCAACCCACCCCGAAGACCGGGAUAACACCGGGAAACCGGUGCUAAUACCGGAUGCCGUCACCGGAUCGCAUGGUCUGGUGACGAAAGGAUUCCGCUUCGGGACGGGCUCGCGGCCUAUCAGCUCGUUGGUGGGGUAACGGCCCACCAAGGCUUCGACGGGUAGCUGGUCUGAGAGGACGUUCAGCCACACUGGGACUGAGACACGGCCCAGACUCCUACGGGAGGCAGCAGUGGGGAAUCUUGCGCAAUGGGCGAAAGCCUGACGCAGCAACGCCGCGUGCGGGAAGACGGCCCUAGGGUUGUAAACCGCUUUCAGCAGGGACGAAACUGACGGUACCUGCAGAAGAAGCUCCGGCUAACUACGUGCCAGCAGCCGCGGUAAUACGUAGGGAGCGAGCGUUGUCCGGAUUUAUUGGGCGUAAAGAGCUCGUAGGCGGUUUGGUAAGUCGGGUGUGAAAGCUCCGGGCUCAACUCGGAGAGGUCACUCGAUACUGCCAUGACUCGAGUCCGGUAGGGGGCGUGUGGGAAUUCCCCAGUGUAGCGGUGAAAUGCGAGAUAUUGGGGAGGAACACCAAUGGCGAAGGCACACCCUGGGCCGGUACUGACGCUGAGGAGCG
RNAcentral lists this ribosomal RNA (718 nucleotides) under uncultured bacterium. RNAcentral's name for it is "bacterial SSU rRNA". It matches the Rfam family "Bacterial small subunit ribosomal RNA", at positions 28 to 755 of the family's 1533-position model. The record is from RNAcentral.